This is a long non-coding RNA of Brassica napus (rape), 1617 nucleotides long. RefSeq lists it as uncharacterized. NCBI's taxonomy places the organism in Eukaryota, Viridiplantae, Streptophyta, Magnoliopsida, Brassicales, Brassicaceae. The transcript has 2 exons. The record is from RefSeq and is a predicted model, not a curated record.
GCACUGUUUAAUGAAUCAUGCAUCACAAAUCUGCUUCCUUUAGCCUGGACAUCCAUCUACAGUAUUUCUCAUAUCCGGUGAUGAAUCGUGGUAUACUUACAGAUUAGCCUGGUCGGGAUUCAGUUGGCUUCGUGCAUAUCCAGGUCCCGAGCCACUAUCAGCUAAAGAUGACUGUCCUUCCGAAAAGUGGCUCUGGAAAGACUUACUUGAAGGUGACUUUUUUUGAUCGAAAUAACCAUAUAAGCUAUUUCUGAACUAGUCAGUUUUUUUUUAUGGGUCCACAGAGACUUGUGAAGAGACUCCUCUGAAGAUAAGGAGCAGGAUACUUGAGUAUGAAAAGCCCUUUUAUUGCCGAGUAUGCAUGUUUUAUUUCUCGAUGUUUUCAUCAGCCAUUCCAAGAGUAGACAACACAAUAAGGUGGUAUGCCUCCUCCUACUCUCAGCUUUGUAUCAUUUACAUUUGUUACUUGUCUAACCAAUAGUAUGAUAAUAAUCUCGGUUUGGUUAGCAGUUGCUUCUCAGUGUGAUUCCUUUUGUGUUGUGAUUUUGGCUUUCUUGGCUUGGCCUCUUCACUCUUCUCACGGCCAGCUCUCUCUGUUUUAUACUCUGAUUUGUUCAUUCACUCUCUUUGUUUCUUUACUUGUGUUUUAUCAUUACACAAGCACACUCACACACUCUCUUUACUCUCUCACACGUUUGGUUUCUUGUAGAGAGAAGAAAGUAAGCUUUAGUUGUCUACAUCUUUCUUUCUCUCCAACUCUUUUUCUUAUUACACUUGGAUCCAUUCUUACAACAACACACUUACAUAAUUAUAAUAGUUUUACUCUAACUACUACACACAUGCACUUCCUUAUACUUAUAGCUUUACCUACUCCCAUUUGUCCAUGCCUCUACAUUAGGCCAUAGACUAAUCUCCACAAGCAAAGCUUAUCUAUUCUAACAACUCUUAACAACUUCAACUUAACUUAGUUGCUUACAAACCAACUAGCUACUUUUAUUCUUCUUGUUGUGUAACUUCUAGUUACACAACCAAGUCUUCUUGCUUGACUUCUUGUUCUUCUUUCUUUCUUGCUCUGCACGCUUCUUCUUCUUCUUUCUUUGUUUCUUGCACUCCAAGCUUCUUCUUAUUCUUCCAUUGUAGCUUCUUCUAAGCUACUCUUCUUUUGUUCUUCUUCUCUUGGAUAUUUAAUCAAGGUUCAAUCUCAACAUUUUGACAUUAACAAUUAUCCUGACAAUACUUGCACACUUUGCGAGUAUCCAUAUUACAACGAUGCUAAUAGGAAGCUCCACUUGGAAAGUGAUGAACACAAAGCCGCCGCCGCCGCAAGUGUCUCUCAUGAGAUAGAGGCUUCCCUUGUCGAUCCACUCAACACAAGUCAAGAAAAGGAAGACGCCACCAGGAACAGAACUUCAGAAGAGCCUCUCUGGAAAGAGACUAAUUAAGAAGAAUAAUUAGUAAGGAACUAGACGAAGAAGAAGAGUGCAUGGUCCUAUGUCGUGUUGCUCUUAAUCCUAAAAUAGUACUCUCUGCGUUUUUAUUUUUAUUGUCAGUUAAACUUAUGAUGCUUUUUUCUACAUAUGGAGAUCGGAUAUAGUAUACCGUGUUGGUUUUGUUCCA